RNAcentral lists this ribosomal RNA (504 nucleotides) under uncultured bacterium. RNAcentral describes it as "bacterial SSU rRNA". It matches the Rfam family "Bacterial small subunit ribosomal RNA", at positions 29 to 529 of the family's 1533-position model. The record is from RNAcentral.
AAUAAACGCUGGCGGCGUGCCUAACACAUGCAAGUCGAGCGAGAAAGCUCCUUCGGGAGUUAGUAAAGCGGCGAACGGGUGAGCAACACGUGAGAAUCUACCCUUUAGUGAAGAAUACCCUCGAGAAAUCGAGGCUAAUACUGCAUACGUCCCUUCGGGGAGAAAGAUGGCCUCUUUGCUAUCGCUAAAGGAUGAGCUUGCGUACUAUUAGCUAGUUGGCGGGGUAAAGGCCCACCAAGGCAAUGAUGGUUAACCGGCCUGAGAGGGUGUACGGUCACACUGGAACUUAGACACGGUCCAGACUCCUACGGGAGGCAGCAGUGAGGAAUCUUGCGCAAUGGGCGAAAGCCUGACGCAGCGACGCCGCGUGGAGGAUGACGGUUUUCGGAUUGUAAACUCCUGUUAAGCGGGAAGAAAGCCUUGUUUCUAAUACAAGCAAGGUAUGACGGUACCGCUAGAGAAAGCACCGGCUAACUUCGUGCCAGCAGCCGCGGUAAGGUCGUC